UACGUAGGGGGCAAGCGUGGUCCGGAUUUAUUGGGCGUAAAGAGCUCGUAGGCGGUUCCGUAAGUCGUGAAGUCAAAUCUCUGGGCUCAACCCAGAAUCGCUUCCGAUACUGCGGUAACUGGAGUCCGGUAGGGGAGUGUGGAAUUCCUGGUGUAGCGGUGAAAUGCGCAGAUAUCAGGAGGAACACCAACAGCGAAGGCAGCACUCUGGGCCGGUACUGACGCUGAGGAGCGAAAGCAUGGGGAGCGAACAGG
RNAcentral lists this ribosomal RNA (254 nucleotides) under uncultured bacterium. RNAcentral's name for it is "partial 16S ribosomal RNA". It matches the Rfam family "Bacterial small subunit ribosomal RNA", at positions 524 to 776 of the family's 1533-position model. The record is from RNAcentral.